AACGAACGCUGGCGGUGGGCUUAACACAUGCAAGUCGAACGCCCCGCAAGGGGAGUGGCAGACGGGUGAGUAACACGUGGGAACAUGCCCAAAGGUACGGAAUAUCCUCGGGAAACUGGGAGCAAUACCGUAUGUGCCCGAAAGGGGAAAGAUCUAUCGCCUUUGGAUUGGCCCGCGUUGGAUUAGCUAGUUGGUGGGGUAAAAGCCUACCAAGGCGACGAUCCAUAGCUGGUCUGAGAGGACGACCAGCCACACUGGGACUGAGACACGGCCCAGACUCCUACGGGAGGCAGCAGUGGGGAAUCUUGGACAAUGGGCGCAAGCCUGAUCCAGCCAUGCCGCGUGAGUGAUGAAGGCCUUAGGGUUGUAAAACUCUUUCGUCGGGGACGAUAAUGACGGUACCCGAAGAAGAAGCCCCGGCUAACUUCGUGCCAGCCGCCGCCGUAA
RNAcentral lists this ribosomal RNA (447 nucleotides) under uncultured bacterium. Its description in RNAcentral is "partial 16S ribosomal RNA". It matches the Rfam family "Bacterial small subunit ribosomal RNA", at positions 29 to 523 of the family's 1533-position model. The record is from RNAcentral.